Small nuclear RNA from Junco hyemalis (dark-eyed junco), 90 nucleotides. Its record names the gene U5. It matches the Rfam family "U5 spliceosomal RNA". Rfam says of the family: U5 RNA is a component of both types of known spliceosome. The precise function of this molecule is unknown, though it is known that the 5' loop is required for splice site selection and p220 binding, and that both the 3' stem-loop and the Sm site are important for Sm protein binding and cap methylation. The record is from Ensembl. Lineage: Eukaryota; Metazoa; Chordata; Aves; Passeriformes; Passerellidae.
AUACUUUGGUUUCUUAUCAAAUUGUAUAAAUCUUUUGCCCCUUAGUAAAGAUUUUCAUGAAGAGGAACAGGCACGAGUGUUGAGGGAUGC